This is a long non-coding RNA of Drosophila subobscura, 426 nucleotides long. RefSeq lists it as uncharacterized. The record is from RefSeq and is a predicted model, not a curated record. NCBI's taxonomy places the organism in Eukaryota, Metazoa, Arthropoda, Insecta, Diptera, Drosophilidae. The transcript is spliced from 2 exons.
GAAAAUUUAUAAAAUUUACCUGCAAACACUAAUUUUUGUUUUGUUUUAUUUUUGUAACCCACAGAUGCCACGUUCUUUUUUUUUGGAGGCGAGGCAAAGUCAUGCGGCAAUUGCUGCCCGACAGUUAAGAGAUGUGUGCAAAUCGUUUUUAUAUCACGCAUAGGUACCCAAACAAUUGUAAAUAUUCUUCGCCUAAAGUCCCUGAAUUGUGAAGAAGCUGCCUAACCGAGUGGUGUUGCAUAUAAAAAUUACCAAAAACUGUAAAUCGAAAAACUGUACACAAGAUACCAAAAUGAGAAACUCUGUAACAUAGAAUCUGGUAAACCUAAAAAUAUUGUAAAAUAGACAGCUGCCAUUUUAUGAGUAUGCUUGUAAAGCAAACCCAUUUUAUAAACUAAAAUUAAAAUUAAGCACAAAGAAAACCUU